Molecule: transfer RNA, 71 nt
Filed under: Phrynosoma platyrhinos (Desert horned lizard)
Lineage: Eukaryota; Metazoa; Chordata; Lepidosauria; Squamata; Phrynosomatidae
Description: tRNA-OTHER
Source: RNAcentral
UUCAGUGUGGAAUAGCGGUUUGAGCAUUGGACUACAACUCUGGAGACCAGGGUUCAAAUCCCUGGAUGACC